RNAcentral lists this transfer RNA (74 nucleotides) under Clostridium perfringens. RNAcentral's name for it is "tRNA-Met". It matches the Rfam family "tRNA". Rfam says of the family: Transfer RNA (tRNA) molecules are approximately 80 nucleotides in length. Their secondary structure includes four short double-helical elements and three loops (D, anti-codon, and T loops). Lineage: Bacteria; Bacillati; Bacillota; Clostridia; Eubacteriales; Clostridiaceae. The record is from RNAcentral.
AGCGGGAUGGAGCAGUCUGGUAGCUCGUCGGGAUCAUACCCCGAAGGUCGUAGGUUCAAAUCCUGCUCGCGCAA